AUGGAGUUGGUGGUAGGUGCCUCGAAUGCUACCAUGAGGUCCCUCCUGGGCAAGCUGGGGGGCCUUCUAGCCCAGGAGUAUGCUCUGGUCCGUGGAGUCCGCCGUGAUGUUCAGUACAUCAAUGAUGAGCUUACAAGCAUGCAGGCCUUCCUCCGUGACCUGAGCACUGCCCUGGAUGACCAUGACAACCGGAUGAAGGACUGGAUGAAGCAGAUCCGUGACAUGGGCUAUGACAUUGAAGAUUGCAUUGAUGACUUUGCCCACCGCAUCCCCCGUGAUCCCAGCAGUGAUGUUAAAUGCUUAUUCAUCAGAACAAGGUUCUAUGAACUCCGGAUGUGGUGGCCUCGUCGUGACAUUGCGUCCAAGAUUGCUGACCUCAAGGUGCGGGCACAACAGAUUGGUGAGCGGCGUAGAAGAUAUGGGGUGCACAACCCAAGGAACCGUAAGAAUGGCUCUGGAGUUAGCGCUGCAACAUACGAGGUUGCUGAGCAUCAGCUCACAGAGCGUCAGCUCAUUGGUACAAAGGAGCCCGUGGGGAUGACGGCUGACAUGAAGAAGCUUGAGGAUUGGUUAGCCAAAUCUGAUAAAAGUUGUUAUGAGGAGCGAGCUGUUCUGUCCAUAGUCGGAUUCGGCGGCGUGGGAAAGACCACUAUUGCAAUGGCUUUGUACCAAGAGGUCAGGGAUAAAUUUGAUUAUCGGGCAUCAGUCACCGUAUCUCAAAACUAUGAUGAAGAUGCAGUCCUCAUGAUGAUUCUAAAACAAGUCAAGCCAAAGGAGAGUGAUCACGAGAACCAACACAAGACUGGCAGCUCUGAUACAAAACAGAUUAAAUUUGGAAUUAGCCACGAUAAACUCGUGAAAGAACUACAAGAUCAUCUGGCUGAAAAAAGGUAUCUCCUCUUGAUUGAUGACAUAUGGUCUGCAAAAACAUGGGAGAGUAUCAGAAAGUGCUUGCCACAUGAUAAUAAAAAAGGCAGCAGAGUAAUAGUGACUACAAGAUUUCAAGCUGUUGGUGCCACAUGCUCCCAAGGAGAGAUUGAUUUUGUUCAUCCAGUCGAAUUUCUUAAUGAAGACGAGUCUAAAAGGUUAUUUAAGCGAAGUGUUUCUGAAUCCAAAAGCAUCAAAUAUAGCGAGAAAGAACUGGACCAAGUCACUGAGGAGAUAUGCAAGAUAUGCAGGGGUCUGCCUUUGGCCAUAGUUACCAUGGCUGGUCUUGUUGCCAGCAACCCGGACACACUCAGCAAAAAAUGGGAAGCAGUGUGCAAAUCAUUAUUUCCAGAGUCGGUGCCUUCUCUCACCUUGGAUGGUGUUACAAGGAUACUCGAGUACUGCUACAAUGAUUUGCCUGCAGAACUCAGGACCUGCUCGUUGUACCUGAGCAUAUUUCCUAAGGGUUCAAAAAUUAGUAGGAAGCGUUUGAUUCGGAGGUUGAUAGCCGAAGGUUUCGUUAGUGAGAAGCAUGGCUUGUCAGAUGAGGAAGUUGCAGAAACAUACUUCAAUCAGCUGAUAAAAAGGAAGAUAAUACGGCCGGUUGAACACAGCAGCAAUGGGAAGGUAAAAAGCUUUCAGGUUCAUGAUAUGGUUCUUGAAUAUAUUGUGUCCAAGUCAAGCGAAGAGAAUUUUAUUACUGUGGUUGGUGGCCACUGGCUGAUACCAAUGUCGACCAAUAAAGUCCGUCGACUCUCCGUGCAAAGCAGUGGUUCCGAACAUGGAAGUUCAACAAAACACAUGAACCUGUCACAAGUGCGAUCACUGACCAUGUUCCGGAGCCUGGACCAACUUCAUUUCCACUCUUUCAAUAAUGGGAUUUUACAAGUGCUGGAUCUUGAGGGUUGCAAGGGUUUGAAAGAGAAACAUCUGAAGGACAUGUGUAGAAUGCUUGUGCUGAAGUAUUUGAGCCUUCGGGGAACAGAUAUUUCCAAAAUACCCUCUAAGAUUGAGAAACUCGAGUACUUGGAAACUCUCGACCUAAGGGAGACUGAUGUCGGUGAGCUGCCAAAAUCUGCAGGGCAGCUCAAAAGAAUAAUCAACAUAUUUGGUGGGAAUAAAAACCCAAGAAGGGGGUUGAAGUUGCCUCAAGAGAUUAAUAAGGAGACAAUGAAAGCACUUCGUAUACUGUCGGGGAUCGAGAUUGAUGAGCAAUCAACAGGUGUAGAAGGCCUCCAUCAGUUGACAGGGCUGAGGAAGCUUGCCAUUUACAAGCUCAUAAUAUUGAAGGAUAGUAAAAUCUUCAAAGAAUUACGCUCUGCAAUCGAGUAUCUUGGCAGCUGUGGUCUGCAGACUCUGGCGCUCAACGAUGAAGGGUCUGAUUUUAUCAACUCACUGGACACCAUGUCCGCGCCUCCAAGAUACCUCAGCGCCCUUGAGCUCUCUGGCAACUUGGAUAGUCUUCCCAAAUGGAUUAGCAAACUAAGUAACCUCCACAAAUUGACCCUCUCUGUAACAGUUCUCCGAAUGGAUACUUUCGAGCUCCUCUGCGACCUGCCUUUGUUGUUUUCCCUCACCUUUUCGCUGAGUGCAGCGAAGCAGGAUGAGGCCAUAGAGGACAUACUUGAGAAGAACAAAUCGGAGUCCGGCGGGGAGAUCUUCGUUCCAAGUGCAGGAUUCAAGAGUCUAAAGCUGCUUCGCUUCUUCGCACCUCUAGUGCCAAAGCUGAGCUUCCCAGAAGAUGCAAUGCCAGCACUCGAGAGGAUUGAGAUGCGGUUUGAAGCCUUUGAGGGCCUUUUCGGCGUCGACACCCUGGAAAGCCUCCAGGAGGUGCACCUCAGAGUCAAUAGCGCAGCAGAUGAAAUAACCAACUUCAUAGUAGAAGAUUUGAAGGCCAUCAAGAAGCCGAAGAUAAUCGUGGAUCAUGUCAUCACCAGCUGA
This 2868-nucleotide ribosomal RNA is filed under the name Triticum aestivum (bread wheat). Its description in RNAcentral is "partial small subunit ribosomal RNA". Lineage: Eukaryota; Viridiplantae; Streptophyta; Magnoliopsida; Poales; Poaceae. The record is from RNAcentral.